This 476-nucleotide ribosomal RNA is filed under the name Endectyon sp. 1 AS-2020. RNAcentral describes it as "partial 28S ribosomal RNA". The record is from RNAcentral. Lineage: Eukaryota; Metazoa; Porifera; Demospongiae; Axinellida; Raspailiidae.
GAGAGUCAAAGAGACCGCGAAACCGUUGGGAGGGAAACGAAUGCGGCCAUAAAGACUACAUUCGGGUUCAGGGUGUCUCGGUUUCGGCGUUGUCACCGGUGAGAACCUGUUUCGGGUCUCUCCGGAGCAAGCGUGCCGAGGCUCCCGCACUCCCGUCUGUAGUCCGCCAACGGCGGUCACAUGCGAUCCAACAGGGUCGUGGGGUUAGGUGCCUCUUGCGUUGGCAUCCUUCGGGUUGUCGAGCGGGAGAACUUACAGCCCUUGGCUCGGAGAUCGCAGGUGUCCGAGGAGCGUUUGCGACCAGUUNSCACGGKGKARCGCAGGCUCCCUGGGGGCCGGGUCGCUCUUGGGCCUGAGUGCUUCGCGACGUGCCACUGCAUGCAGUGACCGUUGACGAUAAUGCGCGCUCGCCUUCGAGGUCGGCCACGAUGUGCGCUGUAGUCGUUGGUGUACGCAUGGCUCCAUCCGACCCGUCU